RNAcentral lists this ribosomal RNA (138 nucleotides) under Priestia megaterium. RNAcentral describes it as "partial 23S ribosomal RNA". It matches the Rfam family "Bacterial large subunit ribosomal RNA", at positions 2789 to 2925 of the family's 2925-position model. The record is from RNAcentral. Lineage: Bacteria; Bacillati; Bacillota; Bacilli; Caryophanales; Bacillaceae.
GAAGCCCCCCUCAAGAUGAGAUUUCCCAUAGCGCAAGCUAGUAAGAUCCCUGAAAGAUGAUCAGGUUGAUAGGUCAGAGGUGGAAGCGUGGCGACAUGUGUAGCUGACUGAUACUAAUCGAUCGAGGACUUAACCAAA